RNAcentral lists this non-coding RNA (141 nucleotides) under Nocardia cyriacigeorgica. Lineage: Bacteria; Bacillati; Actinomycetota; Actinomycetes; Mycobacteriales; Nocardiaceae. The record is from RNAcentral.
AGAGGGAACCCGGUGGAAAUCCGGGACUGUCCCGCAGCGGUGAGUGGGAACGACCGCCGUCAUCAGCACUGGGCACACCGCCUGGGAAGCGACGGCCAGUAGGUCGGCCGAAGUGGCCGGUGCCCGCGAGUCCGAAGACCU